Mustela lutreola (European mink) is the source of this 511-nucleotide long non-coding RNA. RefSeq lists it as uncharacterized. The record is from RefSeq and is a predicted model, not a curated record. The transcript is spliced from 3 exons. NCBI's taxonomy places the organism in Eukaryota, Metazoa, Chordata, Mammalia, Carnivora, Mustelidae.
UAAAAAAAAAAAAAAAAUUUUACCCGAAGGCGAGAAAAAGAAAAAAAAAAAAAAAAAAAUGAAAAAGAAAAAAUUAAAUUAACUGCAAGACUAAAAAAAAUCACAGGAAAAAAGCCAUGAGUUCCGUGCUUGGCUUUCUCCUCCUCUGGAAUUCUGCUGCUCUCCUUGGUAUUGAAACCGCACUCCUUGGAGCUUUUGUUCCCUGAGCGCUUUCCGUAGAGUUCCAGAGGACGGGAAUACAAAUGGCGGCCUCCUGGUCUCCGGCCCGGAGGAGCCGAGAGCCCAGGGCCCCACUCCUCAGUGCGCCCUCAGAGAACAGCGCCCAGUUACUCCCGUCUGCCUGACCUCCGGCCGCGCUCCGAGCUCACCGAGCCUGCGACCGGUUCAAGAAUUGCUGUUCUUCUUCUCUUCGAUCUGCCGAUGGAUUUUCAGGUGUUUGCAAUCUUUAGAUAAGCUAUCUAGCUGAUCUCCGGCUAGCUGAAGCAGUCUCAGCUUGCUACUUCUCCGCCAU